This 633-nucleotide unclassified non-coding RNA is filed under the name Hevea brasiliensis (rubber tree). Lineage: Eukaryota; Viridiplantae; Streptophyta; Magnoliopsida; Malpighiales; Euphorbiaceae. The record is from RNAcentral.
UGAGUUGAGUUGAGUUGAGUUAAGCUAUUUUUAGAUCUGCAUUGCUAUUGGAACUAUAAUCCAUAAUACUGACUCAAGAAUGGAGGAGUUAAAGCUUGGAAGGAUAUUAGGGAACAUCUCACCUUCUUUUCUAAUUCAUCAAUCUACUCAACUUAAGAAAGUCUUGUUUCCAAACUUGUUGGGGUUCACUAAUGAAGCUCAAAUAUUAGAUGAGAUAAUUUUUAUUAUAAAUAUUGGAAUAAUUUCUCUCUCUCUCUCUCAUUUGCAUUUUCUUUGAUCAAGUUAGCCACAUGUUCCCCUAUUUUACAUAUUUAUAUUCUCGUGCAACUUGCAAUUCUGCUUCCACUAUCAUUUUUCAUUGAUGGCUGAAUGAAUAGUUUAAAUUCCCGAUGCCUAGUUUUCUGUGAAUUUCAUAACUCAAACUAUGAUUCAUUUGAAUAUGGAAUUAUUUGUUACUUCUGAUGUGAGUUCUAAUACCAGGUGCAUGAACCUGUUGAGAAUGAGAAGUUGUGCGUCUUUCUAGUUGAGAAGGCAUUGGCAAAGCUCCCAGCUGGAAAAGACGAAAUACUAGGAGUAUUUGAUCUCAGGGGCUUUGGUAUUGGAAAUGCUGAUCUCAAGUUCUUGACCUUUGUG